AUUUUUAACUACCUAGGGAUCCCAAAAUAAUUUAGUAGAUCUAGAAAAAUCCUUUUCACUUUUGAAUUCUUAUGGGCUCACGUAUUUGUAUAAGGAUUUUUAUAUUAAAAAG
This 112-nucleotide ribosomal RNA is filed under the name Pyropia tenera (asakusa nori). The record is from RNAcentral. Lineage: Eukaryota; Rhodophyta; Bangiophyceae; Bangiales; Bangiaceae.